UUUGCGCCUGAGGAUGGGCCUGCGUCCGAUUAGGUUGUUGGUGGGGUAAUGGCCCACCAAGCCUGCGAUCGGUACGGGCAGUGAGAGCUGAAGCCCGGAGUUGGGGACUGAGACAAGGCCCCAGGCCCUACGGGGCGCAGCAGGCGCGAAACCUCUGCAAUGCGGGAAACCGUGACAGGGGGAUCCCAAGUGCUCAUGCAUUGCAUGGGCUGUUCUUUGGUCUAAGUAACCAGAGGAGUAAGGGCUGGGCAAGACCGGUGCCAGCCGCCGCGGUAAUACCGGCAGCUCAAGUGGUAGCCGCGAUUAUUGGGCCUAAAGCGUUCGUAGCCGGAUAAGUAAGUCUUUGGUUAAAUCCUGCGACUUAACCGUGGGAAAUCUAGAGAUACUGCUUGUCUUGAGACCGGGAGAGGUUGGAGGUACUCCCAGGGUAGGGGUGAAAUCCUGUAAUCCUGGGGGGACCACCUGUGGCGAAGGCGUCCAACUGGAACGGGUCUGACGGUGAGGGACGAAACCUAGGGGAGCGAGCCGGAUUAGAUACCCAGGUAGUCCUAGGCGUAAAUGAUGCGAGUUAAGUGUGGGGGCAUCUACGAGAUGGCCCUGUGCUGUAGGGUAGCCGUUAAACUCGCCGCCUGGGGAGUACGGUCGCAAGGCUGAAACUUAAAGGAAUUGGCGGGGGAGCACCACAAGAGGUGGAGGCUGCGGUUCAAUUGGAUUCAACGCCG
This 722-nucleotide ribosomal RNA is filed under the name uncultured archaeon. Its description in RNAcentral is "bacterial SSU rRNA". It matches the Rfam family "Archaeal small subunit ribosomal RNA", at positions 196 to 920 of the family's 1478-position model. The record is from RNAcentral.